This 229-nucleotide ribosomal RNA is filed under the name uncultured bacterium. RNAcentral describes it as "partial 16S ribosomal RNA". It matches the Rfam family "Bacterial small subunit ribosomal RNA", at positions 568 to 796 of the family's 1533-position model. The record is from RNAcentral.
UCCGUAGGUGGAUUGGUCAGUCAGAGGUGAAAUCCUGCAGCUCAACUGUAGAACUGCCUUUGAUACUGCCGGUCUUGAAUUAUUGUGAAGUGGUUAGAAUAUGUAGUGUAGCGGUGAAAUGCAUAGACAUUACAUAGAAUACCGAUUGCGAAGGCAGAUCACUAACAAUAUAUUGACACUGAUGGACGAAAGCGUGGGGAGCGAACAGGAUUAGAUACCCUGGUAGUCC